Long non-coding RNA from Melanotaenia boesemani (Boeseman's rainbowfish), 606 nucleotides. RefSeq lists it as uncharacterized. The transcript is spliced from 4 exons. The record is from RefSeq and is a predicted model, not a curated record. NCBI's taxonomy places the organism in Eukaryota, Metazoa, Chordata, Actinopteri, Atheriniformes, Melanotaeniidae.
CUGACGUGGUGCUGUCCACAUCGGUUAAAAACUAAAUCAAAUCAUCCAGCAGGGCAACAGCGACGUAACGGUGAUGAAUUAGUGCUGUAGAAAGAGGAUCUCCUAUUCCUCUCCAGGUGCAACGUGUGAAAGGGUUUUAUGAAAGUUUGAGAUCCUACAAACGGAUGAUGGUCGUUUCUGAUGACCUGAUGGCUCAAACUAAAAGAUACGUUGUGAACCAGAAUGCUGCUGCAAACAUCUGUCAACCACUGGGAUGAAGUUACAUGUUUUAUAAGCAACUGCUUGUUUGAUGUGCUCUCAUUUGCAGACAGAUGACAUCGAAGUCAAGAGGGACUGCGUUCUCAGAAGGACAGUACCACUCUCAUUAAGGAGGACUUGAAUGCAGAUUUCGAGGAUGCUGCGAGACAGAUUGGACAGACAAAAUGGGGCUUUAUGUAAAAAAGAAGGUGCUGAUGAAGACGAGUAGCCAGAGUGCUGGAGUGGUCAUAGAAGGUGUGAAGCUGCUACAGGAUCUGCAAACUAUUUCAGCUGGAGGAACCAUGCUGUUUGGCCUCAUUUACACACUCAGCUUGAGUUAUGCACAGGAUCACAUCUGAGUUUUUCCAG